Molecule: unclassified non-coding RNA, 271 nt
Filed under: fungal sp.
Lineage: Eukaryota; Fungi
Description: partial contains 5.8S ribosomal RNA, internal transcribed spacer 2, and large subunit ribosomal RNA
Source: RNAcentral
CGCACAUUGCGCCCUUUGGUAUUCCGAAGGGCAUGCCUGUCCGAGCGUCAUUAUCACCCCUCAGGACCCCUCGGGGAUCUGGUGUUGGAGCGUUUGGCCGACGUCCGCCGUCGGCCCCUCCCAAAGACAAUGACGGCGGCCUGUGAGGCGCCCCCGGUACACUGAGCUUCUUCGGAGCACGUACCGGACCUCGUGGUGCCCGGGACCCGGUCUCGACCUUUUUCUUCUCAAGGUUGACCUCGGAUCAGGUAGGAAUACGCGCUGAACUUAA